UACAGAGGGGGCAAGCGUUAUUCGGAAUUAUUGGGCGUAAAGGGCGCGUAGGCGGCUUUGCAAGUGGCGGGUGAAAGCCCUCGGCUUAACCGAGGAACUGCCUGUCAGACUGUGAGGCUUGAGACCGGGAGAGGUGAGUGGAAUUCCCAGUGUAGCGGUGAAAUGCGUAGAUAUUGGGAGGAACACCGAUUGCGAAGGCAGCUCGCUGGGACGUUACUGACGCUGAGACGCGAAAGCGUGGGGAGCAAACAGG
Molecule: ribosomal RNA, 253 nt
Filed under: uncultured bacterium
Lineage: Bacteria
Description: partial 16S ribosomal RNA
Rfam family: Bacterial small subunit ribosomal RNA
Source: RNAcentral